This 517-nucleotide ribosomal RNA is filed under the name uncultured bacterium. RNAcentral's name for it is "bacterial SSU rRNA". It matches the Rfam family "Bacterial small subunit ribosomal RNA", at positions 8 to 518 of the family's 1533-position model. The record is from RNAcentral.
AGAGUUGAUCAUGGCUCAGGAUGAACGCUAGCGACAGGCCUAACACAUGCAAGUCGAGGGGCAGCAUAGAAGUAGCAAUACUUGGUGGCGACCGGCGCACGGGUGAGUAACGCGUAUGCAACCUACCUAUCAGAGGGGAAUAACCCGGCGAAAGUCGGACUAAUACCGCAUAAAACAGGGGCACCGCAUGGUGAUAUUUGUUAAAGAAAUUCGCUGAUAGAUGGGCAUGCGUUCCAUUAGGUAGUUGGUGAGGUAACGGCUCACCAAGCCGACGAUGGAUAGGGGAACUGAGAGGUUGGUCCCCCACACUGGUACUGAGACACGGACCAGACUCCUACGGGAGGCAGCAGUGAGGAAUAUUGGUCAAUGGGCGGGAGCCUGAACCAGCCAAAGUCGCGUGAAGGAAGAAGGAUCUAUGGUUCGUAAACUUCUUUUGCAGGGGAAUAAAGUGCGGGACGUGUCCUGUUUUGUAUGUACCCUGAGAAUAAGGAUCGGCUAACUCCGUGCCAGCCGCCGC